AUUGAACGCUGGCGGCAUGAUUUACACAUGCAAGUCGAACGGUAACAGGCCGCAAGGUGCUGACGAGUGGCGAACGGGUGAGUAAUGCAUCGGAACGUGCCCAGUCGUGGGGGAUAACUACUCGAAAGAGUAGCUAAUACCGCAUACGAUCUAUGGAUGAAAGCGGGGGACCGUAAGGCCUCGCGCGAUUGGAGCGGCCGAUGUCAGAUUAGGUAGUUGGUGGGGUAAGGGCUCACCAAGCCAACGAUCUGUAGCUGGUCUGAGAGGACGACCAGCCACACUGGGACUGAGACACGGCCCAGACUCCUACGGGAGGCAGCAGUGGGGAAUUUUGGACAAUGGGCGCAAGCCUGAUCCAGCAAUGCCGCGUGCAGGAAGAAGGCCUUCGGGUUGUAAACUGCUUUUGUACGGAACGAAACGGCUCUGGUUAAUACCCGGGGCUAAUGACGGUACCGUAAGAAUAAGCACCGGCUAACUACGUG
This 482-nucleotide ribosomal RNA is filed under the name uncultured bacterium. Its description in RNAcentral is "partial 16S ribosomal RNA". It matches the Rfam family "Bacterial small subunit ribosomal RNA", at positions 30 to 507 of the family's 1533-position model. The record is from RNAcentral.